Mauremys reevesii (Reeves's turtle) is the source of this 551-nucleotide long non-coding RNA. RefSeq lists it as uncharacterized. The transcript is spliced from 3 exons. NCBI's taxonomy places the organism in Eukaryota, Metazoa, Chordata, Testudines, Geoemydidae. The record is from RefSeq and is a predicted model, not a curated record.
CUCCAGAGCUGCAGAGUUGUGCUUUUAUAGAAAGUUUCCCCCUCGCCCCACUGUGCCUUUCAGCUGACUAAGCACUUCAAUUUGGCAGCAUCGGGUUGCUGUAGCUCCUUGUAUUUUAAAUGUACUGAAGAUGGCACCUUUCAUUUACUGCAGCAGGAAUUGGUGAUGGUUCAGCUUCUGCUAGUCAUGUAUCAUUUAACAAAGGAGACAACAGCACCAGUUUCCCAGAAGAUCUUUACUGUCAUGACCAGGCAUGAAGUUCCCAGAUUCUGUAUCAAGUGAAAGAACGGUUGAGUGCAAGGUGAGGAAGGAUCAGCAACCAUUAUAGGAGAAAGGAAAAAGUAUUUAAUCAGUGACAUCAAAAUUUAAAUAAAAAAUGAGCUUAUCUCAGUUAUAGGAAAGAUAAGAAAGAAAUUGUAUUUAGUAUAUGCCAACAGCUAUUGGAGGCUGCUAUAUGGUGCUUAGAUUUCUACAUACUUCACAUGAAUUACUAGUUGCAGUUCAAGUCCAUCAGAAUUGUUUUGUAUCCUAUUAACCACCUUUUAUUUAUU